Molecule: small nuclear RNA, 60 nt
Organism: Rattus norvegicus (Norway rat)
Lineage: Eukaryota; Metazoa; Chordata; Mammalia; Rodentia; Muridae
Product: U7 small nuclear RNA
Source: Ensembl
CAGUUUUUUUUUUAUUGGAAUUUGUCUAGCAGGUUUUCUGAUGUUGAUCAGAAAACUAAA